Molecule: unclassified non-coding RNA, 253 nt
Filed under: uncultured Parcubacteria group bacterium
Lineage: Bacteria
Description: contains 16S-23S intergenic spacer region
Rfam family: Bacterial small subunit ribosomal RNA
Source: RNAcentral
CACGUGAACCCCAAGCGUUAUCCGGAUUUAUUGGGCGUAAAGGGUGUGUAGGCGGCUCUGUUAGUCUUUUGUCAAAGACCUCAGCUCAACUGAGGGACGGCAAGGGAAACGGCAGAGCUUGAGGAUGCGAGAGGUGUACGGAACUCAUGGUGUAGAGGUGAAAUUCGUUGAUAUCAUGGGGAACGCCAAAGGCGAAGGCAGUACACUGGCGCAUUCCUGACGCUGAGACACGAAAGCCAGGGUAGCGAACGGG